This 468-nucleotide ribosomal RNA is filed under the name uncultured bacterium. RNAcentral describes it as "partial 16S ribosomal RNA". It matches the Rfam family "Bacterial small subunit ribosomal RNA", at positions 28 to 507 of the family's 1533-position model. The record is from RNAcentral.
GACGAACGCUGGCGGCGUGCUUAACACAUGCAAGUCGAACGGUGAUGCCCCAGCUUGCUGGAGUGGAUCAGUGGCGAACGGGUGAGUAACACGUGAGCAACCUGCCACAGACUCUGGAAUAAGCGCUGGAAACGGCGUCUAAUACUGGAUACGAAACUGGCCCGCAUGGGCAUGGUUUGGAAAGUUUUUCGGUUUGGGAUGGGCUCGCGGCCUAUCAGCUUGUUGGUGAGGUAAUGGCUCACCAAGGCGACGACGGGUAGCCGGCCUGAGAGGGCGACCGGCCACACUGGGACUGAGACACGGCCCAGACUCCUACGGGAGGCAGCAGUGGGGAAUAUUGCACAAUGGGCGAAAGCCUGAUGCAGCGACGCCGCGUGAGGGAUGACGGCCUUCGGGUUAUAAACCUCUUUCAGCAGGGAAGAAGCGAAAGUGACGGUACCUGCAGAAGAAGCACCGGCUAACUACGUG